Molecule: ribosomal RNA, 497 nt
Filed under: uncultured bacterium
Lineage: Bacteria
Description: partial 16S ribosomal RNA
Rfam family: Bacterial small subunit ribosomal RNA
Source: RNAcentral
GAUGAACGCUGGCGGCGUGCCUAAUACAUGCAAGUCGAGCGAACGGACGAGAAGCUUGCUUCUCUGAUGUUAGCGGCGGACGGGUGAGUAACACGUGGAUAACCUACCUAUAAGACUGGGAUAACUUCGGGAAACCGUAGCUAAUACCGGAUAAUAUUUUGAACCGCAUGGUUCAACAGUGAAAGACGGUCUUGCUGUCACUUAUAGAUGGAUCCGCGCUGCAUUAGCUAGUUGGUAAGGUAACGGCUUACCAAGGCAACGAUGCAUAGCCGACCUGAGAGGGUGAUCGGCCACACUGGAACUGAGACACGGUCCAGACUCCUACGGGAGGCAGCAGUAGGGAAUAUUCCGCAAUGGGCGAAAGCCUGACGGAGCAACGCCGCGUGAGUGAUGAAGGUCUUCGGAUCGUAAAACUCUGUUAUUAGGGAAGAACAUAUGUGUAAGUAACUGUGCACAUCUUGACGGUACCUACUCAGAAAGCCACGGCUAACUACGUG